AGAGCGGCGGACGGGUGAGUAAUGCCUAGGAAUCUGCCUGGUAGUGGGGGAUAACGUUCGGAAACGGACGCUAAUACCGCAUACGUCCUACGGGAGAAAGCAGGGGACCUUCGGGCCUUGCGCUAUCAGAUGAGCCUAGGUCGGAUUAGCUAGUUGGUGAGGUAAUGGCUCACCAAGGCGACGAUCCGUAACUGGUCUGAGAGGAUGAUCAGUCACACUGGAACUGAGACACGGUCCAGACUCCUACGGGAGGCAGCAGUGGGGAAUAUUGGACAAUGGGCGAAAGCCUGAUCCAGCCAUGCCGCGUGUGUGAAGAAGGUCUUCGGAUUGUAAAGCA
Molecule: ribosomal RNA, 337 nt
Filed under: Pseudomonas sp. DB2-11
Lineage: Bacteria; Pseudomonadati; Pseudomonadota; Gammaproteobacteria; Pseudomonadales; Pseudomonadaceae
Description: bacterial SSU rRNA
Rfam family: Bacterial small subunit ribosomal RNA
Source: RNAcentral